CCUGACCUCCGGUAAUCUGCCUGCCUCGGCCUCCCAAAGGCCGAGGAUUACAGGCUGGGGUUACAGGCACGUGCCACCACGCCCAGGUAUGGCCAUUGUCAAAUCCUGUUUCUUUCUCACUCACCCAGACUGCAGACUAACACAGGUCUUGUCAGACAAUCCCUUACCAGGCCGCUCCAACGCGAGGAAAGUUUAGAAAACAUGGCCCUUUUAGCUGUAAUUAUAUGGCUGGAAGAAGAAACAAAGUUGUGAGCUGCAAUGGAGCUGAAUGUUUUUGUCCCCCCACCAAUCCCCCUCAAAAAACUCAUAGGUUGAAAUCCUAACCCCCAGUGUAAUAGAAAAUGGGGCUUUUGGGAGGUAAUUAGGUCAUGAGGGUAGAGCCCUCAUGGAGGGAUUAAUGACCUUAUAAAAGAGACUCCAGAAAGCUAGCUUGUCCUAUUUCUGCCAUGUGAGGACACAACAAGACAGUAGUCAUGUGCAGCCCAGAAGAGGGUCCGCACCAGAACCCAACCAUGCUGGGACCCUGAUCUCAAACUGGCAACCUGCAGAACUCUAAGAAAUGCCUCCUGUUUAUAAGCCACCAGUUUAUGGGACUUUGUUAUAAGCAGCCCAAGCUAAGGCAUAUGGGCAAUGAAAAUAUCAGAAUUGUUUGAAACUUUAAUCUAUUGUAAUAACUCCUUUCACAUUGUGUAUAAUACGUCGGUUUAACAAUAUGUAAUAAAAUUUUAAAACAAGGCAUCUAUUCCAAGAAUUAAUUAAUUAUAUUAAUUGAACAGACACUUACUAAUUCAUUCAACAAAUUGCUGAACACCUGAUAUGUGCCAGAUAUUUUUCUAGGUGCUGGAGAUACAGCAGUGAAAACAAAGAGCAAACCCUGACCCUUGUGAAGUGAAUUGUC
This 898-nucleotide long non-coding RNA is filed under the name Homo sapiens (human). RNAcentral's name for it is "HSALNT0038242". Lineage: Eukaryota; Metazoa; Chordata; Mammalia; Primates; Hominidae. The record is from RNAcentral.